Molecule: ribosomal RNA, 497 nt
Filed under: uncultured bacterium
Lineage: Bacteria
Description: partial 16S ribosomal RNA
Rfam family: Bacterial small subunit ribosomal RNA
Source: RNAcentral
GAUGAACGCUGGCGGCGUGCCUAACACAUGCAAGUCGAGCGAACAGACGAGGAGCUUGUUCCUUUGACGUUAGCGGCGGACGGGUGAGUAACACGUGGAUCACCCACCUAUAAGACUGGGAUAAUUUCGGGAAACCGGAGCAAAUACCGGAUAAUCUACUGCACCGCAUGGUUCAAUAGUGAAUGACGGCUUUGCUGUCACUUAUAGCUGCAUCCGCGCCGGAUUGUCUAGUUGGUAGGGUAACGGCUUACCAAGGCUACGAUGCGUAGCCGACCUGAGAGGGGGAUCGGCCACACUGGAACUGAGACACGGUCCAGACUCCUACGGGAGGCAGCAGUAGGGAAUCGGCGGCAAUGGGCGGAAGCCUGACGGAGCAACGCCGCGUGAGUGAUGAAGGUCUUCGGAUCGUAAAACUCUGUUAUUGGGGAAGAACAGAUGUGUAAGUAAAUAUGGACGUCUUGACGGUACCUAAUCAAGAAGCAACGGCUAACUACGUG